This 254-nucleotide ribosomal RNA is filed under the name uncultured bacterium. RNAcentral describes it as "partial 16S ribosomal RNA". It matches the Rfam family "Bacterial small subunit ribosomal RNA", at positions 524 to 776 of the family's 1533-position model. The record is from RNAcentral.
UACAGAGACUGCAAGCGUUAUUCGGAUUCACUGGGCGUAAAGGGUGCGCAGGCGGCCGAGUGUGUGAGGCGUGAAAGCCCGGGGCUUAACCCCGGAAUUGCACCUCAAACUACACGGCUAGAGGCAUUGGAGAGGGUAGCAGAAUUCAUGGUGUAGCAGUGAAAUGCGUAGAUAUCAUGAGGAAUACCAGAGGCGAAGGCGGCUACCUGGACAAUUGCUGACGCUCAGGCACGAAAGCGUGGGGAGCAAAAGGG